UCCCAAUUAGUCCAGAGGCUAGGAUAUUCCGCUUUCACUUCUUCGGAUCUGAAGCACCGGAAAGACCCGGGUUCGAUUCCCGGAUUGGGAA
Molecule: transfer RNA, 91 nt
Filed under: Didymella sp. IMI 355093
Lineage: Eukaryota; Fungi; Ascomycota; Dothideomycetes; Pleosporales; Didymellaceae
Description: tRNA-Glu
Rfam family: tRNA
About the family: Transfer RNA (tRNA) molecules are approximately 80 nucleotides in length. Their secondary structure includes four short double-helical elements and three loops (D, anti-codon, and T loops).
Source: RNAcentral